RNAcentral lists this long non-coding RNA (471 nucleotides) under Volvox carteri. RNAcentral describes it as "long non-coding RNA (VCAR_LNC000013)". The record is from RNAcentral. Lineage: Eukaryota; Viridiplantae; Chlorophyta; Chlorophyceae; Chlamydomonadales; Volvocaceae.
GGGUCAGGGCCCAUGAAUGCCCCGGCGGGCGGUACGCCCUGCGGGGCGUUGAGCAGGUUGCCGCCGGGGGCUGCGAGGUGGCGACCAGUGGCCGCGAGGGUGGUGGGUACAGGCAGGAUGCUGCGCCACACGCCGCCCUGUACCAUGGACUCCAGCAUGCCUUCCAAGGCGUCUGGUGGCGCGUAUUGGAACCUGCGCAAAAAUGGGUUCGGGUUUUCAAAGUCGGAUGAAUGGGGGGAUAGAUGGGUGGUGCUUCACGGGGUUAUAGCGGGAGACAUGUGCAGCAGCAGCAACAUGCGCAGCAGCAGCAAAAUUAUUAUCAUUAUCAUUAUCAGCAGUAGCAGCAGCAGCAGCAGCAACAGCAGAAGAAGAAGAGAGGAAAGAGGGGAAGAAAAGCACAAGAGCAUGGAAGGGGACCGGAGGACUGUAGGUAGGCUUUUCCACCCACGCCCCUCACCGAAGAAGACCCCC